This 292-nucleotide ribosomal RNA is filed under the name uncultured bacterium. Its description in RNAcentral is "partial 16S ribosomal RNA". It matches the Rfam family "Bacterial small subunit ribosomal RNA", at positions 505 to 796 of the family's 1533-position model. The record is from RNAcentral.
GUGCCAGCCGCCGCGGUAAAACGUAGGAGCCUAGCGUUAUCCGAAUUCACUGGGCGUAAAGCGCGUGCAGGCGGCCAGAUAAGUUGGAUGUGAAAUCUCCCGGCUCAACUGGGAGAGGCCGUUCAAAACUAUCUAGCUCGAGGGCGAUAGAGGGAGGUGGAAUUCCCGGUGUAGUGGUGAAAUGCGUAGAUAUCGGGAGGAACACCAGUGGCGAAAGCGGCCUCCUGGAUCGUACCUGACGCUGAGAUGCGAAAGCUAGGGGAGCAAACGGGAUUAGAUACCCCCGUAGUCC